Long non-coding RNA from Micropterus salmoides (largemouth bass), 425 nucleotides. RefSeq lists it as uncharacterized. NCBI's taxonomy places the organism in Eukaryota, Metazoa, Chordata, Actinopteri, Centrarchiformes, Centrarchidae. The transcript is spliced from 2 exons. The record is from RefSeq and is a predicted model, not a curated record.
UGCUCACGUCGCUGCUAAUUAGCAUUUGUAAAAGAAAAGGGCAUUUUUACAUUCCUCCUCCUGGUAUGAGGCGAUAUCAAGAAGCGAGGGAGGCUUGUACCUGAAGCCUGAACACAGCAUGACGGCGCGCCGGCAGCCAGCCUGCAGGGGAAAUCAAAGCUGCGGAGGUGGAGGUGGAAGCUGAAGGCUAGUGAGCUCGAGAACGCUGAGAUUUAACACUAAGAGACACAUGGUGUUGGAAAACCCGGGGUUAUUAGAUCUCCUUAGCAAUGUGCUGAAGGAAGGAUGGUUUACAUGAGCCUGCUGGCACAGAUGGCACCAGUAACAGGGCUCCUCAAUCAGAAUCACUUCCACUGCAUUUAAUGUGAUUUAAAGAAUCUGAUCCAAAAAUAAAACGGUGACAAUGUGAGCUGUUUACAUAUUUA